RNAcentral lists this ribosomal RNA (1073 nucleotides) under Escherichia coli. RNAcentral's name for it is "partial 23S ribosomal RNA". It matches the Rfam family "Bacterial large subunit ribosomal RNA", at positions 410 to 1487 of the family's 2925-position model. Lineage: Bacteria; Pseudomonadati; Pseudomonadota; Gammaproteobacteria; Enterobacterales; Enterobacteriaceae. The record is from RNAcentral.
GAGUAGGGCGGGACACGUGGUAUCCUGUCUGAAUAUGGGGGGACCAUCCUCCAAGGCUAAAUACUCCUGACUGACCGAUAGUGAACCAGUACCGUGAGGGAAAGGCGAAAAGAACCCCGGCGAGGGGAGUGAAAAAGAACCUGAAACCGUGUACGUACAAGCAGUGGGAGCACGCUUAGGCGUGUGACUGCGUACCUUUUGUAUAAUGGGUCAGCGACUUAUAUUCUGUAGCAAGGUUAACCGAAUAGGGGAGCCGAAGGGAAACCGAGUCUUAACUGGGCGUUAAGUUGCAGGGUAUAGACCCGAAACCCGGUGAUCUAGCCAUGGGCAGGUUGAAGGUUGGGUAACACUAACUGGAGGACCGAACCGACUAAUGUUGAAAAAUUAGCGGAUGACUUGUGGCUGGGGGUGAAAGGCCAAUCAAACCGGGAGAUAGCUGGUUCUCCCCGAAAGCUAUUUAGGUAGCGCCUCGUGAAUUCAUCUCCGGGGGUAGAGCACUGUUUCGGCAAGGGGGUCAUCCCGACUUACCAACCCGAUGCAAACUGCGAAUACCGGAGAAUGUUAUCACGGGAGACACACGGCGGGUGCUAACGUCCGUCGUGAAGAGGGAAACAACCCAGACCGCCAGCUAAGGUCCCAAAGUCAUGGUUAAGUGGGAAACGAUGUGGGAAGGCCCAGACAGCCAGGAUGUUGGCUUAGAAGCAGCCAUCAUUUAAAGAAAGCGUAAUAGCUCACUGGUCGAGUCGGCCUGCGCGGAAGAUGUAACGGGGCUAAACCAUGCACCGAAGCUGCGGCAGCGACGCUUAUGCGUUGUUGGGUAGGGGAGCGUUCUGUAAGCCUGCGAAGGUGUGCUGUGAGGCAUGCUGGAGGUAUCAGAAGUGCGAAUGCUGACAUAAGUAACGAUAAAGCGGGUGAAAAGCCCGCUCGCCGGAAGACCAAGGGUUCCUGUCCAACGUUAAUCGGGGCAGGGUGAGUCGACCCCUAAGGCGAGGCCGAAAGGCGUAGUCGAUGGGAAACAGGUUAAUAUUCCUGUACUUGGUGUUACUGCGAAGGGGGGACGGAGAAGGCUAUGU